GAAAGUAAGCAAGGGCAGACGGUGGAUGCCUUGGCUCUCGGAGGCGACGAAGGACGUGAUAAGCUGCGAAAAGCCCGGGGGAGGCGCAAAUAGCCGUUGAUCCCGGGAUAUCCGAAUGGGGCAACCCGGCAGGCUGAAGGCCUGUCAUCCCGAAAGGGAGGCGAACGUGGGGAACUGAAACAUCUAAGUACCCAUAGGAGGAGAAAAUAAACAAUGAUUCCGUAAGUAGUGGCGAGCGAACACGGAAGAGCCCAAACCCAUGUCGUCUAGGCGACACGGGGGUUGUAGGACCACGACGUGGCAAGAAGGAAGGGAAAUGGAACGCCUUGGAAAAGUCGGCCAUAGACGGUGAAAGCCCGGUACAUGACUCCCUUACGAAGCCUAGUGGUAUCCUGAGUAGCGCGGGGCACGAGAAAUCUUGCGUGAAGCAGCGGGGCCCAUCCCGUAAGGCUAAAUACUCCCGAGAGACCGAUAGCGAACCAGUACCGUGAGGGAAAGGUGAAAAGAACCCCGAGCAGGGGAGUGAAAUAGACCCUGAACCCGUCUGCCUACAAGCGGUCGGAGCGUCGUAAUGACGUGACGGCGUGCCUUUUGCAUAAUGAACCUACGAGUUACCUUCCCCGGCAAGGUUAAGUUCUUGAGGAACGGAGCCGAAGCGAAAGCGAGUCUGAACAGGGCGCCAAGUCGGGGGGGGUAGACGCGAAACCGAGUGAUCUACCCUUGGCCAGGUUGAAGGUUGGGUAACACCAACUGGAGGACCGGAUGGGUAAGCGUUGAAAAGCUUUCCAAUGAGCUGAGGGUAGGGGUGAAAGGCUAAUCAAACUCGGAGAUAGCUCGUACUCCCCGAAAUGCAUUUAGGUGCAGCCUCUUUAUAGUAUAUCGUGAGGUAGAGCGACUGAUUGGAUGCGAGGGCUUCACCGCCUAUCAAGUCCAGAUAAACUCCGAAUGCGCGAUAUAUAUUUACAGGGAGUGAGGGCGCGGGUGCUAAGGUCCGUGUCCGAGAGGAGAAGAAUCCAGACCACCGGCUAAGGCCCCCAAAUGAUCGUUAAGUUGAACUAACGAGGUCGGAUCGCAGAGACAGCUAGGAUGUUGGCUUGGAAGCAGCCAUUCAUUUAAAGAGUGCGUAACAGCUCACUAGUCGAGCGAUCUGGCGUGGAUAAUAAUCGGGCAUAAACGAUCUGCCGAAGCCGUGGAUGUCGCAAGACAUGGUAGGGGAGCAUUCCAUGCCGCGUCGAAGAUGAGGGAUGACCCUUGUUGGAGCGCAUGGAAAAGCAAAUGUAGGUAUGAGUAACGAUAAGGGGGGCGAGAAACCCCCCCGCCGAAAGACCAAGGUUUCCUGAUCAACGCUAAUCGGAUCAGGGUGAGUCGGGACCUAAGGCAAAGCCGAACGGCGCCGCCGAUGGAAGAAUGGGUUAAUAUUCCCAUACUGCCUCAUGGAGUGACGUGGAGACGGAGAAGUGACAGUCCUGCCGGCUGACGGAAUAGCCGGUUGAAGGGUGUAGAUAUUGAUUCCCGUAGGCAAAUCCGCGGGGAGAGUCGAACCUGAGAGUAUACGGAGCGCUUGCGCAACGUAAUAUGGACGUAACCAUGCUCCCGAGAAAAUCCGCUAAACUUAUCCAUGCGGCACCCGUACCGUAAACGGACACACGUGGUCGGGUUGAGAAUACUGAGGCGCUCGAGUGAUUCACGGUUAAGGAACUAGGCAAAUUGACCCUGUAACUUCGGGAUAAAGGGUCCUCGUCGUAAGGCGAGGCGCAGAGAAUAGGUCCAGGCAACUGUUUAACAAAAACACAUGGCUGUGCUAAAUGGAAACAUGAUGUAUACAGCCUGACACCUGCCCGGUGCCGGAAGGUUAAGAGGAGAUGUCAUCCGCGAGGAGAAGCGUUGAAUUGAAGCCCCGGUAAACGGCGGCCGUAACUAUAACGGUCCUAAGGUAGCGAAAUUCCUUGUCGGGUAAGUUCCG
Molecule: ribosomal RNA, 1963 nt
Filed under: human gut metagenome
Description: bacterial LSU rRNA
Rfam family: Bacterial large subunit ribosomal RNA
Source: RNAcentral